Long non-coding RNA from Sinocyclocheilus rhinocerous, 802 nucleotides. RefSeq lists it as uncharacterized. The record is from RefSeq and is a predicted model, not a curated record. The transcript has 2 exons. NCBI's taxonomy places the organism in Eukaryota, Metazoa, Chordata, Actinopteri, Cypriniformes, Cyprinidae.
GCAGUUUCCUGAAAUCUAGCGUUAUUGUAGCAGCCAAUGGGUGGAGUUUGAGAUUUGCGACAGGUCCCGUCCCCCCGGUAACACUGCAUGCUUGAUGUUGUGUGUUCAGAGCUUGUUUCUUAGGGGUGAAAAAAGCGGUCCUGAUUUUGCAUCGCAAAAAAAUGCCACACACAUUGUGUGCAAAGAGCAACCCCUAGAGGGCAGGGACGAGACGAAGCCGGAAAAUGGCCUCCUUAGCUUGAGGAACGUCACAAUUCCUGCUUUUAAAACCUAUUUAAAGCCAUUUGAGAUGAGUCUGAACUGAGAACUGACAAGUCGAGUUCUUCAGAAGCCCUUUUUGAAAUGGGGUGAAAUGUUCUCUUCAACUUUCUUUUCUUUUAAUGUUGAUGUAUUUGUAUCUACAUGGGUUAACAGUGUUCCUUGGGUCAAGCCAUGCCAACAGACCCAUAAAUGUACACACAAAACAAGAAUAUGAAGUGGGAAUGAGCGCCUCACUCCCCAGUCAAUAGAGAGAUGAAAUGUAGGUUUGAAUCAUCUUUUAAGAUCAAAUUGAAGUACUUCUCUUGAUACCGUAUGAGACCUAAAGAAGAAAUAUGUUUUUUGUUGCAUGGACACAACUUUAGCUGAACUUUAAAAAAAAAAAAGGGGAUAAAAAAAACUCAGACUGCUACUUGCAAAAAAAGAUGACAAGAAAAACGAAUCAGAUCAGCCAUUUUCAACAGUUUCUAUUAUUUUUAAAAAAAAAUUUCACUAGUGCAUGAUUUUCAUGGGGAGUGAAUGCUACCAUGUGAUUUGAAAAAAA